ACAGUCACUGACAUUAGAUACCCGGGUAGUCCAGGGUGUAAACGCUGCAGACUUGGUGUUGGGAACCCUUCGGGGGUGCUCAGUGCCGGAGAGAAGUUGUUAAGUCUGCUACUUGGGGAGUACGUCCGCAAGGAUGAAACUUAAAGGAAUUGGCGGGGGAGCACCGCAACGGGAGGAGCGUGCGGUUUAAUUGGAUUCAACGCCGAAAAACUCACCAGCAGCGACUGUUACAUGAAAGUCAGGUUGAUGACCUUACUAGAUUUUCAG
RNAcentral lists this ribosomal RNA (267 nucleotides) under uncultured archaeon. RNAcentral's name for it is "partial 16S ribosomal RNA". It matches the Rfam family "Archaeal small subunit ribosomal RNA", at positions 717 to 982 of the family's 1478-position model. The record is from RNAcentral.